Molecule: long non-coding RNA, 781 nt
Organism: Biomphalaria glabrata
Lineage: Eukaryota; Metazoa; Mollusca; Gastropoda; Planorbidae
Exons: 3
Source: RefSeq, a predicted model, not a curated record
CCCAGACAACAAUCAUCCUCUGGUCUCCCCCACUGACAAGCCUUUCACCAUGGAUGUGUAGACAUCUUACAAUACCCAUGUGUUCCUUGAGAAUGUGUUGUACCUUCCCUGAGAGCAGAAAGAGAUUGCAAAAAUUUGAAAAUAAUUACAGCCAAUACAUCCCGUAGGAUGACAAAGAUGGCAGCGGGCAAGGUUCGAACUCUGCAGAAUUGGGACAAAAGUUCAGAGCUCAUACCACAUGACCAGACAGACAUUUUGUUUUUCUUUUUAUAUAUUACAGCCUUUUCUUCCAAAAAGAAUUAAUGCAUCCUUUGUAUAAACAUUCUCUUUAAUCUCCAUUAGACACAUUACUAAUUAAUUAUUUUUUAAUGUCCAUUAGAGACAUUAUUAAUUAAUUGGUUUUCAUGUUCAUAAGAGACAUUACUAAUUAAUUGGUUUUCAUUAGUGACAUUACUAAUUAAUAGGUUUUCAUAACUUUUUUUUUUGGUGAAUCUUAGCAGGCUCAAGCAGCGCUUGGAAAAUAAAAUUCUUAAAUGAAUCGUGCGAUUAGAGAUUUGAACCACUGAAUAAUUAAUACACUUACCCUCAUGAGACCAGAGUAUGAUUGUACUGUCAGAAGAUCCUGAUGCGAUACAAUCAGCAUUGUAAGCCACACAAUACUGGAAGCAAAACAUAACAAAAAAUGCUAUGUAAAAUAUAGUGUGCUGGAAGAGUGCUGUUCUCAAAGUUCUGCUAUCAGAGAAAUAUAUUUCACCUACAAAUUGUUAAUAGUUAACAGAUU